GGUGGUUUUAACACUAUAGGGCCAGGAAUACAUAUUUGUGUUCCUGACACUAUAGUGCUCCUUUAACCCCUUAAGGACCAAACUUCUGGAAUAAAAGGGAAUCAUGACAUGUCACAUAUGCAGUGGCGUACUAAGGGGGGCGGGGGGGACGGUCCGCCCCGGGUGCCAUCAGGUAGGGGGGUGCCACCAGGGCUGGCCAGGCUUGGAGUUCAGUGAGCUGUGUGGCUGCACCGGGUGCAAUAGCAGCAGGGGUGCCGGGCAGCCGACACAGCUCACACGCAGGGGCUGGGAGCAGGAGACCUGCAUGGAGAUUUGGGGGCGGAGCCAGAUCGCUGUGGGGGCGGAGCCAAGCCAGAUGUGGGGGCAGAGCAGAAGUCCCUGCUUCCCCAAUUCCAACACAGCAGGGACUGAAUCCAUUCCUCCUCCAGCCCAAGCUUACUGUAAGUGAGAGAGUGUGUGCUGUGUCUAACUGUGAUUGUGAGUGU
This is a non-coding RNA of Pelobates cultripes (western spadefoot toad), 485 nucleotides long. The record is from the annotation of a GenBank genome assembly. NCBI's taxonomy places the organism in Eukaryota, Metazoa, Chordata, Amphibia, Anura, Pelobatidae.